This 253-nucleotide unclassified non-coding RNA is filed under the name Hevea brasiliensis (rubber tree). The record is from RNAcentral. Lineage: Eukaryota; Viridiplantae; Streptophyta; Magnoliopsida; Malpighiales; Euphorbiaceae.
GGAGAAUAUUGACCUUGAGUUUGAAGAAAGUAGAAGAUCAUCCUCAGCAUCACAUAGCUCAAAACUCAAGGUAGCUAAGCUUGUCGAUGGAUACCUUCAAGUAAUCGCUAGUGACACAAGUUUACCCUUAUCAAAAUUCAUAUCGAUAGCUGAAGCAAUCCCAGAAUUUGCUAGGCUUGACCAUGAUGAUCUUUACAAAGCCAUCGACAUCUAUCUCAAGGGUCAUCCAGGGCUAAACAAGAGCGAAAGAAAG